Molecule: non-coding RNA, 135 nt
Organism: Triticum aestivum (bread wheat)
Lineage: Eukaryota; Viridiplantae; Streptophyta; Magnoliopsida; Poales; Poaceae
Source: Rfam
UUAGUACUCCUUCCGUUCUGAAUUACUUGUCUUAGAUUUAUCUAGAUACGGAGGUAUCUAGCACUAAAAUGAGUCUAGAUACAUCUGUAUCUAGACAAAUCCAAGACAAGUAAUUCGGAACGGAGGGAGUAUGAG